AGCCUGAUGGAGCACACCGCGUGAGUGAAGAAGGGUUUCGGCUCGUAAAGCUCUGUUGUUGAAGAAGAAUGUGCAAGAGAGUAACUGUUCUUGUAUUGACGGUAUUCAACCAGAAAGUCACGGCUAACUACGUGCCAGCAGCCGCGGUAAUACGUAGGUGGCAAGCGUUAUCCGGAUUUAUUGGGCGUAAAGCGAGCGCAGGCGGUUUUCUAAGUCUGAUGUGAAAGCCUUCGGCUUAACCGAAGAAGGGCAUCGGAAACUGGAUGACUUGAGUGCAGAAGAGGGCAGUGGAACUCCAUGUGUAGCGGUGGAAUGCGUAGAUAUAUGGAAGAACACCAGUGGCGAAGGCGGCUGCCUGGUCUGUAACUGACGCUGAGGCUCGAAAGCAUGGGUAGCGAACAGGAUUAGAUACCCUGGUAGUCCAUGCCGUAAACGAUGAGUGCUAGGUGUUGGAGGGUUUCCGCCCUUCAGUGCCGGAGCUAACGCAUUAAGCACUCCGCCUGGGGAGUACGACCGCAAGGUUGAAACUCAAA
RNAcentral lists this ribosomal RNA (533 nucleotides) under Limosilactobacillus ingluviei. RNAcentral's name for it is "bacterial SSU rRNA". It matches the Rfam family "Bacterial small subunit ribosomal RNA", at positions 380 to 905 of the family's 1533-position model. The record is from RNAcentral. Lineage: Bacteria; Bacillati; Bacillota; Bacilli; Lactobacillales; Lactobacillaceae.